GCAAGUCGAACGAACCUUCGGGUUAGUGGCGGACGGGUGAGUAACGCGUGAGAAUCUGCCCUUAGGAGGGGGAUAACGGUUGGAAACGACCGCUAAUACCCCAUAUGCCGCGAGGUGAAACGAAUUUCGCCUGAGGAUGAGCCCGCGUCUGAUUAGCUAGUUGGUGGGGUAAGAGCCCACCAAGGCGACGAUCAGUAGCUGGUCUGAGAGGAUGAUC
Molecule: ribosomal RNA, 217 nt
Filed under: uncultured bacterium
Lineage: Bacteria
Description: partial 16S ribosomal RNA
Rfam family: Bacterial small subunit ribosomal RNA
Source: RNAcentral